RNAcentral lists this ribosomal RNA (301 nucleotides) under uncultured bacterium. RNAcentral describes it as "partial 16S ribosomal RNA". It matches the Rfam family "Bacterial small subunit ribosomal RNA", at positions 509 to 807 of the family's 1533-position model. The record is from RNAcentral.
CAGUAGCCGCGGGAAUACGAAGGGGGCUAGCGUUGCUCGGAAUUACUGGGCGUAAAGGGCGCGUAGGCGGGUCGUUUAGUUAGAGGUGAAAGCCCAGGGCUCAACCCUGGAAUUGCCUUUAAUACUGGCGGCCUUGAGUAUGGCAGAGGUGUGUGGAACUCCGAGUGUAGAGGUGAAAUUCGUAGAUAUUCGGAAGAACACCAGUGGCGAAGGCGACACACUGGGCCAUUACUGACGCUGAGGCGCGAAAGCGUGGGGAGCAAACAGGAUUAGAUACCCGCGUAGUCCCUGUCUCUUAUAC